GUGGGGAAUUUUGGACAAUGGGGGCAACCCUGAUCCAGCCAUUCCGCGUGAGUGAAGAAGGCCUUCGGGUUGUAAAGCUCUUUCAGCAGGAACGAAACGGUGGCCCCUAAUACGGGCUGCUAAUGACGGUACCUGAAGAAGAAGCACCGGCUAACUACGUGCCAGCAGCCGCGGUAAUACGUAGGGUGCGAGCGUUAAUCGGAAUUACUGGGCGUAAAGCGUGCGCAGGCGGUUCCAUAAGACAGAUGUGAAAUCCCCGGGCUUAACCUGGGAACUGCGUUUGUGACUGUGGGACUUGAGUGUGGCAGAGGGGGGUGGAAUUCCACGUGUAGCAGUGAAAUGCGUAGAGAUGUGGAGGAACACCGAUGGCGAAGGCAGCCCCCUGGGUCAACACUGACGCUCAUGCACGAAAGCGUGGGGAGCAAACAGGAUUAGAAACCCCAGUAGUCC
Molecule: ribosomal RNA, 450 nt
Filed under: uncultured bacterium
Lineage: Bacteria
Description: bacterial SSU rRNA
Rfam family: Bacterial small subunit ribosomal RNA
Source: RNAcentral